RNAcentral lists this ribosomal RNA (253 nucleotides) under uncultured bacterium. RNAcentral describes it as "partial 16S ribosomal RNA". It matches the Rfam family "Bacterial small subunit ribosomal RNA", at positions 524 to 776 of the family's 1533-position model. The record is from RNAcentral.
UACAGAGGUCCCAAGCGUUGUUCGGAUUCACUGGGCGUAAAGGGUGCGUAGGUGGUGGGGUAAGUCGGAUGUGAAAGCUCGGAGCUCAACUCCGAAAUGGCAUUGGAAACUACCCUGCUAGAGGAUUGGAGGGGGGACUGGAAUACUUGGUGUAGCAGUGAAAUGCGUAGAUAUCAGGUGGAACACCAGUGGCGAAGGCGGGUCCCUGGACAAUACCUGACACUGAGGCACGAAAGCUAGGGGAGCAAACAGG